GAAGCUAAGUUCUGAGUUUUUAAGCGAUAUGUUCAAGGACUCUGAAUAAGUCCAUUAUAUUAUAAAAUGGAAUGUUUUGUUGUUAACCAGAAUAGCUAUACACUGGUUGUCAAGCCAUUUAAUUACAACUAGAUACUUCGAACUUCUAUAAUUCGCAGGAAAGUGAAAGUUAUGACUAAUAGACUCUUGUGAAAUAUAGCUAGAAACUCCAGUUUCCAUUGGUAUGAAAGAGUUUCGACUUCAAUCCCACUUCUUCCUUAGAACAAAAGGGAAAAUUGUAAAAAUAUCGCAGACAGUGGAAUGUGAGCAAAACGGCAAUAUCAACAUCAGCAGCGAAUGUGAAACAAGCGCUGAGAUACAGAUACAAAACACUUAUUUUUAAUUUCGAUGAAUCACCAUCGGUUUGGUUCAGUUCGCUUUGGGUUCAGUUCGGUUUUGGUUUUGGCUUUGGUGUUUUGGUUUGGUUCAGUUUGGCUGAAACGAAAUUCAGCGACGUCGUCGAUGACUGCAUGCCUCGCACUGAAGACUGAAGACAGAAGACGGGAGAACGGAGAAUUCGGGGGCGGAGAACGGAGAACGGAAAGCCGAGAACAGAGAAGACGCAAAACAAACUGAAAGAAUGCACAAAGAGCAGACGACGAUCAAAGCCAAAACGUAAGGAAAAACGUUACAAAAAAAGUUCUGGGGGAAUAAUACUUACACAGGCACGAAUGUAUCUCCAGUCGAGGGCCCCAACCCCUCCGACAUUCCACAGACCCUACGCCAGUUGACAGAGAUAAGGGGUUAUCGUAGCCCUCAAAGUUUACUUGGAGGUACGCAGCUUAAAACAACCUGUACACUGCGAGAAUAAUUAACAAUACAGCGAAAGCUUGCAAAUUCAAAGAUACCAAGCUACUACCUACGCCAAAAUCCAUACAGAUCGAAGUUCUUCCAACUCCAUACAGAUACAAAUAGAACCUAUUAUUUUUUCUAGUGCCCGCCUUUGAGGAACAUCGCAGGCGGCCUGUCAGCAUCCUUUUGUGCGCAGGAGAAUAGAGCAGCGGCGGAAGUGCUUUGUCGCCAUUGAUGUGACAACGACUUCCGCUGUCUCAGCCUUACCUGGGCAGUCCGGCUCUUUCGUCGGCCUGGACUGCUCGCAAAUAUUGAUUAUUCGAGAUUGCGUGCCAUAUGGGCUACGGCAAGGUGAGGAGUGAAGCGGGGGCGGCGGCGGGGCAGCGUUGUGAGGGGGUGGCUAAGUCACCGACAACGGCGCACAUCAAAGGCUUCGUCAAAGUUCUCAUUCUGGCGUUGUUGCUGUCGUCAUUUGCAUUUUGGCGGGUUCCCAAUGAGAAGUGAGCGAAGGUCUCUCAAAUUGAUUGUGAGCCGCAAAACCUGGGAAAGACCUUUGCAUAUGCAUGUCAAGAGUUGUCCGGUGUUCGGUGCUCAGUGCUCCAUUGUUGUUGCAAGCUGGUGCUGUUGUUGUUGUGGUUGCAUGUUGCUGCUGUUGCCAAUAUUGCUGCUCAGCCUGUUGCUUGGCUUCGCCUGGCAGCCGGGUUUCUGUGUCAGCCACCUGCCUGCCUGCCAGCCUGCCAGCCUGAUCCGCCUUAGGAUCUUUGCGACUCGUUUCAGCACCCGGCCUGCCCCCCUUGUGCUCCACAACCCGCUCCUGUUAAUUGCUAAGGCUGACCGAUGCCACGCCCCGAAAUGAAUAUUAAAAUGUGUUGCAACAAAUACGAAGAGCACAUGAAUAAGUAAAAACCGUUGACCACUGCAGCCGGGAGCCAGGAUAGCACUUCCUUUUGACCACAGCAUUAUCAUCGAAGAGGGAGCAACUGGAGCUACAGAGUCUAAGUGAAAUUUUAGAUGCUCUGUAAGCAUAACAAACUGUGACCGUUUAAAUAAAUAUACAAAUACAAUAAAGCAAUUGAAUUUGAGAUGAUUUAAAAA
This is a long non-coding RNA of Drosophila sechellia, 1926 nucleotides long. RefSeq lists it as uncharacterized. NCBI's taxonomy places the organism in Eukaryota, Metazoa, Arthropoda, Insecta, Diptera, Drosophilidae. The transcript is spliced from 2 exons. The record is from RefSeq and is a predicted model, not a curated record.